GACGAACUGUGCAAACGUUAUUCGGAAUCACUGGGCUUGAAGAGUGCGUAGGCGGUUUCGUAAGUAGGGCGUGAAAGCCCCCGGCUCAACCGGGGAAUUGCGCCCUAAACUGCGAGGCUGGAGUGAGGUAGGGGUGUGUGGAACUUCCAGUGGAGCGGUGAAAUGUGUUGAUAUUGGAAGGAACGCCGGUGGCGAAAGCGACACACUGGACCUUGUCUGACGCUGAGGCACGAAAGCCAGGGGAGCAAACGGG
Molecule: ribosomal RNA, 253 nt
Filed under: uncultured bacterium
Lineage: Bacteria
Description: partial 16S ribosomal RNA
Rfam family: Bacterial small subunit ribosomal RNA
Source: RNAcentral